Long non-coding RNA from Armigeres subalbatus, 2460 nucleotides. RefSeq lists it as uncharacterized. Lineage: Eukaryota; Metazoa; Arthropoda; Insecta; Diptera; Culicidae. The record is from RefSeq and is a predicted model, not a curated record. The transcript is spliced from 2 exons.
CUACAACCACAUGCUUCUCUCGAAAUUAGCGCGAAACCGAACCGAGCGUAUCUACGUUUCAUUUAUAUCCUCUCGCUCUCGUUCCUAUCGGGUCAUUCGUGUCCGAGCAGCCGCCCGCGUCAGAUCGUAUCACGUUCGUUUGUUCCCUCUCACGUGCAUAUACACACCAACGCACACACACACACACGCGCCUGCAACGCCUUUUCCUGAGGUUGUUUUGUGUUGUUUUCGCCAAGAAACUGUACGGCCGCGGGUUCGCGCACUGCUGCGAGAUAUAAAUAAGAACAGUUAGAAGAAAGACAUUUCGCGCGCGCACAUUUCGGCCCGAAAAAAAAGAGAGUGUGUGCCGACUCCUUCGCUGUUGUAUCGCGGGUUUCUUCGUCGUUUUGGUGGCGACUUUGUUUGUACGCUGUGCUUCCUCGCGCGAUCGCUCCCUCCAUCCACUGGGCAAGCGUUGUGUAACCACUUGGUACUUUGGGGCUGUGAAGCACGCAAGCAAGUGUAGAAAGUGCUUUGAUUGCUGUGUGUUUUAUUGUAAGGAUUUUGUUGAUUGUUAUUUGUUAUCGGACAAAUUGUCGAGAUUUGCGUGUGAAAAGGCAGCUCCACUCAAGACAGUCAUGGGGAGCUGAUUGGUGUAAAUAUUUCCCAUAUACAAGUGUGAAUAAACGUUCAAGAGGAUUUGACUGCAAGGAGGUGGUUGAAAUUUUUGAGUGGAGAAGUACAGUACUGAAACGUAAACUAAGGUUGUGAAACAAGUGCCUGUUAAGAAACACAAAUUUAUAAAUAUUAUAUGCUUAUGUUUUGUUCGUGAAAAAGUUUAUUAAAACACAAAAAAGUAAAAUGACAGCGAGUAAGAUAUCCCGACCAACCGGCUUCCUGGGGACGUCUGCAGCAACACCACGGAACAGUGCUUUCGACAACUAUCGAAGCCAGGUGCCACAGAACGUCAACCGGACGAAACGGUGCCUGUUCGGUGUACCAGAUUCAAACGAAACAAAAAGACUGUACAAUGAAAGCGUACAACAGGAUCGUCAGCGAUUCAUCAACCGAUAUAAUUUUGAUACCGUGACAGGUCAGCCUGUCAGUGGCUCAUCAAUGACCUCAUCAUCAAUGUCGUCAUCAUCGUCACGCAGUAGCCCAUCCAGGGAAAACUGCAGGCCAAACGAGGCCAAAGGGCUGUGCAAAAAUGACUCCAAGAAGCCUUACACGAGACAGCAACAGCAGAAAUAGUCGAAUGAUCUGUCCAAGCAACCCCCAGUGAAAGCCAGUGCUGCCUCAGUACUGCUGAGAUUACGGCGCUGCUACAACUGAUAAUCAGUCUAAAAGAAACUCCAGAACCAGAACCAGAGGAGUUGAUGAGCAACGCAUUUUGGCGCAAAACGUUUGUUUGUGAUACACCUACCUUUUAAAUGAAAACAAACACCAUUAUUGCGGUUUGCGUGCGGAUCAACGGCAACAACAUCGUUUCAUCGGCGCGCGAAAAAAGUGAUGCUGAAAAUGUGCGACGCACAAAAAUAAUAAAUAAUUAUAAAUACAAGUUAAGUGACGAGUGAAAGAGAGCAAGAAAGAGAGCGAGAGCAAAAUCGGUCGAUUCGUAGUAGAGAACACAACUUUUAUUGUUGUAUUAAUUUAUAGCAAAUUUUGUUAAAUCAAGAAGAAAAAUUUUACUAUUAUUUGAUUAAUUGUUAAAGACCUACGGAAUAAACAAAUCUGUAAGGUCUUCUUCUCAUUGGAUAGAGUUUAUAUUAAAGGUGAAACGCGCCAAAUCCAAUUUCAUAAUUACCUCACGAUUUCCGAGGCACAAAUCUCAACGAACAGCCAACAGUGAAUCAUUUUCAGUACUGAAAAUGGUCACCACUGUAUUGAGAUGUCUGCUAUCAAAAAAGCGAGACCGGCCACUGCUGUGGCGGCCAUGAUUGGAUUCAUGCGCGUUUGCCCGUUAAGAAGUUUUCUUUUUUUGCUAGUGAUAGGGCAUCGUUUGUACCACCGAAUCCUCCCUUGAAUUGGAUCUGCCAAACCGCAUCUAGAAAGCUCGCGAGAAAAAACAACAAAGUGGACUGGAGCACAAAGCACGAGUUGUUCGCGUUCACUAGCGGUUUCUUUUCUUUUGUUUGUUUCAGCUAUUCAAUCAAAGAGAGAAGAAAGCAUUAAUAUUUCAUAGUGAUCUCAUAAUUUAAUUGAUAAUUGUUUUUUUUUAUUAUUUUUAUAGCAGAGAAAAAUUGUGGAAGCAUAGUAAUAUGUAGAUUUUUAAUAAAUCAGAAGUUGGAAACACGCAAAGCUAAAACCAAGCCAGAUUGCAGCCGUACUCUAUCGAGAAAACAAAUUGCUUACUAAAAGUUUAGACUUUAAUUUCAAAAAUAAACACAGACAUACACAAUCGUUUUACUAGCGGUGAGUUUUGUAAGUUCAUUUAAUUUUCACUUGAAGUAAUUGUAACAAUAAAUAGCAAUAAUUAUAAAA